CCUACGGGUGGCAGCAGUGGGGAAUAUUGGACAAUGGGGGGAACCCUGAUCCAGCCAUGCCGCGUGUGUGAAGAAGGCCCUCGGGUUGUAAAGCACUUUCAGUGAGGAAGAACGCCUGGUGGUUAAUACCCAUCAGGAAAGACAUCACUCACAGAAGAAGCACCGGCUAACUCCGUGCCAGCAGCCGCGGUAAUACGGAGGGUGCGAGCGUUAAUCGGAAUUACUGGGCGUAAAGCGCGCGUAGGUGGCUUGAUAAGCCGGUUGUGAAAGCCCCGGGCUCAACCUGGGAACGGCAUCCGGAACUGUCAAGCUAGAGUGCAGGAGAGGAAGGUAGAAUUCCCGGUGUAGCGGUGAAAUGCGUAGAGAUCGGGAGGAAUACCAGUGGCGAAGGAGGCCUUCUGGACUGACACUGACACUGAGGUGCGAAAGCGUGGGUAGCAAACAGGAUUAGAUACCCUUGUAGUC
This 465-nucleotide ribosomal RNA is filed under the name Vreelandella stevensii. RNAcentral describes it as "partial 16S ribosomal RNA". It matches the Rfam family "Bacterial small subunit ribosomal RNA", at positions 338 to 795 of the family's 1533-position model. The record is from RNAcentral. Lineage: Bacteria; Pseudomonadati; Pseudomonadota; Gammaproteobacteria; Oceanospirillales; Halomonadaceae.